This is a long non-coding RNA of Cavia porcellus (domestic guinea pig), 9329 nucleotides long. RefSeq lists it as uncharacterized. The record is from RefSeq and is a predicted model, not a curated record. Lineage: Eukaryota; Metazoa; Chordata; Mammalia; Rodentia; Caviidae. The transcript has 12 exons.
CCCAGAAAGGAAGAGGUUAUUCAUCUCCUUAAAAAUACAUUUCUGCUGGGGAUAUGGCUCAGUGGUAGAGCACGUGCCUAGCAUGGACAUCCCCGGCACCAAAAAAAUACAAGUAAAUAAUAAAUAACUGUCUCGUUGAGCACGUACGCUGAAUUGAGUGCUGUGCUAGGCCAGGAGACGUAAGUGAAGCAAAUAUCAAAUAUUUAUUGACUGCUUAUGCGACGUCAUGUCCUGUGUUAAGCACUCCGUGUACAUCCUGCUGCCAAGGACAGACUAGGACAGGGACUGUUUGUCGGUGCGGCUUUUUCGACUGAGAAGGAAGGAGGCUGCCGAAGCUCCGGAUGGUGUGGUGCCUCACUGCAGGUCCCUGGUGAUCACUGAGCAACCUGGGCGCAGCCUAGGGGGGCCCUCCUCCCCCCAGCUCCUGAGGCUGCUCCUCCGGGGGACGGUUGGUGGCUGGAUGACUCAGGACGAGCUGGCCCUGUGCAGCCCCACUUCUCACAUCCCAUCCUGUCCUUGGCCUAAGGAAGGACAGUGUGUAGGGGACGGAUGUGGGCUUGGAUAAUAGUGCCGCGUCACUGCUGAUCAGGAGCCUGCAUUCACUUCCUCCCAGCCACCACCUGAAGCCCGUCACAGCUACUGUCCCUGGCAGGACAGUUCCAGCCCUCUCAGCCCCACGGAAAGCAGCUGGAGUUUGUCUCCAGAACCAAAUACGCAUUUCCUUCUUGUGCUGGGCUUCCUCAGCUACCCGAGAAUGCAGUCCCUUUCUGAAGUUCUGUCCCCAGAUACCCAAGAUUUCCCCUAUGUUCCAGAGAGAAGGAGGAGCCCGCUUCCGUGAGCUCCCGCUGGGCUGGAUGUCGAGGAAGCGGUCCAGUGACCUCUUUCUUCUAUUCUGAGCUUAGGAGGAAGGGGCCAUGCUGCCAGUCCAUGAGUCAGCAGGUCCGGGACUGAACACUGUCCAGGUGGGGAAUCAGGAGAAAAACCAGCUGAAGAGUCGGUCUGUCUAAUCUGGCAAGCAGAAGGCUUGAGCGCUUGUGGGGUCCACAGAGAUCUAAAUUCAAGGAUGCUCAUUGCCACAUUCUAGGGGGAGCAACUUAACUGCCCAUCUGCAAGGGGCCGAUGAAGUCAGCAAGGACAGACCUCUCUAUAAAGGAGACUUGUGCUGCUAUUAAGUGAUGUGUCAUGCCCAUUAGGUAUGGCUGCAGAAAGGUGCUCAAAACUGUUCAGUGACUAAAGCAAGUCGUAGAACUUGCAUGUGUGUUGUGUGUGCUUCUAUAGAUGGAAAGGAUUUCUAGAAUACACCCAAGAGGCUGCUGCCUGGUUACCUUUUUUUCCUUUUUUUCUGUCAUUUUGAGACAGGAUUUGCUCUACAGUUCAAGCUGGCCUUGGAGAUUCAUGGCAAUCCUCCUGCCUCAGCCUCCUGAGUGCUGGAAUUUCAGGCAUGUGCCACCACAUCUGGCUUGGAUACUUCUGAAGAAUAGAAAUUGUGUGGGGGAAGAGUAAGAAUGAGGUUUGGAUGGGGAGUCAGAUUUUCAUUCUUCACUUUUACAUCUUUUGCACUUUAAAUGUUUUUUUAGACAGGCAGCAUGUGUUGCUUUGACAAUAGAAUGAUCACAAUUCAGUGGGAGAAAGAAAGGCUUUAGACGGUUCACAGACCAAAGGCAGCCAAUGAGUCGGUCCUGUGCUGAGGGCAGGAGAAAGACAGAGUGGGGCCUGAGAUAAUGGACGUGUCCCAAGACGCAGGAGGAACUGGCGGGACGUCACUGUAAGGCCGCUCGGUGACAGAAGACAGUGAAGCCAAGACCCACGUUUGACUCCAGGGAGAGGGACUGGAUGCCUGUUCUGACAGCGGGUAGCAUACAGUAACCAACAGAGGACUCACACAAAGAAAACCAAGAACCCAAGCAAGAGUAAGACCAGAUGAAAAGAGCUACAUGGCUCAGCUGCAGCCAGCAGCUCUCACUCGGAUCGGCCUGCUAGGACCCAGGUGUGGCGUGACAGUGGAGGACUGGCGGAGAGCUGCUUGACCAGCACCAUCUGCUUCGGGAUCUCAGCGUGCCCAGCGUUUCUCCCCCCGACUCUCUCCUUCCACGACCUCUGUAUGUUGUUGGCCCUGAAGUCCUGGACUCAGACGGGCUUCCUGACUUAACUACCCAAGGAGCUGGGAUUCCAGGGGCCUACCACUACACCCGGCAGUGAUCUGCUGUGUAGAGAGAAGCCAGAAUGACUUCCAGUAACUGUAGACGCUGAUGAUCAAAUGGUACACAUGGGCAGUUAAAGAUUUUUGCAAAGGAAGGCUGCAUAAAUUUAAGGAUAUAUUAUUGUCUCUGCCUUAUGGUUGAUCAGACUGAGGUACCGAGAAGAGGUACCAUGACCUCCCAUCUUCUGCUAGCAGGCGUUUACUGAUUGCCCGUAUUGGCCCUGAGCAUGCUGCAAAGGCCCUGGUUACUGCCCUCUGGUGCUCCAUUCCACACAGGGAGGCUGACACUAAGCAUCUAAUUACAAAUUGAAGAGACUUCUGAACCCACAGAAGAUAGAGCAGGAUUGAAGGAGGUGAACGGCAUCUCUAAACAUUAAACCCCUCUGCAGCUCAGCGGCACAGAUGCCAGUUGCAUGCACAAGUCUUUCAUGAGAGCUUGGAUGGGUCCAAGGUCAGAUCCCCACCCUUCUAAAGGGUUCAUUCACCUCCAGAGGAGAGCCUUUUAGAUAAUUCUAUUUACAAAAGGAGCCUGUUGUUUGGAGAUAGAAUGGGGAUGUGAGGACAGAAAGGAGCGCUCUGGGAGAGCAUGGUUCUCUUUAGGGUAAUCCUGGGGACUUGGGACUCUGGGUUCUUUGUAUUUGCAUUGAUACUGGAGGACUUCAGGGUUCUUCCCAUCAGCCUUCUUCCCGAAUACUUCCCUUUGGUCCUUAUUGGCAAACCCCUUCAAAUUCCAGGUGCUGGGGAAAGAAGUCACCCCUAAAUGAGGUGUCUAGUUAAGCAGAUCCACACCUACACAUGCUAAUACCUUCUAGGGCUGGAACUUUGCCAUUCACAGUCACAGAUAGCCACAAAGGACAUUUGAGGCUCACUAAUUCUGGAUUUACCUUCUUCUCUAACAAAUGGCAGUAUUUCAGACUGUUUAUUUAACACAGAGUGCAAUUUUAAAAGUUUUGACCCUUAGAGUAUAAUUUUGUGACUUCAUGCCCUUCUUUCUGGGCAGAAUAAACAAAAUAGGGAAAGGGCAAAUCUUGUAGGGGUUUUCCUGCCUUUUCUUAGAUGCCUAAUUUUUGCUUAUAAUAUUGUAGGGUGAGACUCACACAUAGGAACAAAGCAAAGCUUGCAUGGUUUUCUCUUGAACAGAGUUGCUUGUAUUUGUAUUUUUGGAAGCUGAAUAGUUAAAGUCCUGCUUUAUCAUUUCUCAGUUAACUUUAUUCUUUCUGCUUCAAGUUGGGAAAUGAAUUUUGUUGGCCAUGUGUUUAAAGUCUUGGGAAGAACCCUGGACUUGAUGGACCUGAAGAACCCAGAACUGUGCCUUGUGCACAUGCGUGUGUGGCAUGCACGCAUGUGUGUGGAGGGAGAGGGCUGUUGUUCCCAAAUUGACUUCUCUUUGCUUUUGUCGCAGCCUGAAAGUUUGAGUUGGUCUCAAGUGCUCUGCCACUUUGCCACUUUGAUGGAAUAGGCAUCAAGACAGAGGACAUAGCCAGGAUAGGAUGGAAAGAUAAAGCCAGAGGAGGAUGGAAGUGACCUAUCGGUAACAAAUUAUGGCUACAGUAUUUAAGAGAGAAGUAGGUCUUGAUAGAAAACCUGUUAAAGUGCUGUACAUUUAUCAAUCAUUGAUGGGAAUACUUAGUCCAAAAAAAGCCAAUACUUAAGAUUUUUCUUCUCAAUGUGUUAACAGACCAACUUCAAUAUUUGGCUUCUGAGAGUGACAUCAUAUUAAAGUUACCUCUUGUUUUUGGUACCAAGAAUUGAAGUCACCAUCUCACUCCCACCACGCAGGCACUUGCACUGCUGAGCUAAAUCCUGGGCCCUGAGUUACAUCAUAUUAAAUACUGCUAGAAAUAAGUGGGCUCUGCUAGGACUCUGGGAUUAUUUUUUGGGUCACUAUUAUAUUUGCUGUAAUGGAAUUUGAUUUUUCUAGAACUAAAAGUUCCUACAGCUUUAUUAAAGUCCAUACAUCUCUCAAAAUUUAGAAUUCACACUUAUUCUUGAAAACAAUAUAGAGAACUGUGUAGUUCACAUUUCAGAGGGUUGGAACAGAUUAAUCGUCUUCUCAUGAAGUCAUUCAGCCAGGGGUCCUGGACGUGAGCUGUGACUGCUUUUGGAAUAAGCAGCUCAGGGCAGAUGAAUAUGCAGAGGUAAUGGCAGGUCCCAGUGCAAGUGUGGUCAGCUUGGAGGGAGGCCUGAUGUUGAUGUCUAGGGGGACCCCACCCCUACCCCAAGGUGCCAAGAGGGUACCUAAAAGAGGUCCUAGCUUUUAACUUCCUUCUCUUUGCGACUGACAAUCUUUCUUUCAUGCUGCUUUCGCUGCUGUCUUUCAUCAUGAUUCUCCACUUACGGCGUCCACACAGUGUCUGUGAGGACGGUUGGAAAGGCACCACUUUCGGAGACCAUGCCAAUGGAGAGCAAGGCUGGCUCCACAUUCUAUCCCACGCACAGUGGCUCCUUCCCCUAAAUGAGCCUAUUUAAUGAGUCAAGAAUAUUCCAUUAACCAAACAAGUACGGCUGCCAGUUGGAAUGUUCCAAAGAAAAUAAAUGAAAACUUGUCUACUUUGUACUGUUUUGAUGGGCAAUCUUUUUAAAACAUCAUGGUGCCUGGUCUGUCUCCUCUCAGGUUGUAGUGUAUUAGAACAAAUUUACCCAGAGAGGCCUAGAAAUGUUUUCAUGCAAUAAUAAUUCACAGCUCAGUUUUUACAGUACUUUAUACUCCUCUCUUCUCAGUGCCUCCGGCAAUGUCUGGGAAGAAGUUAAAUGUUUAAAGAGAUGCAUUAACUCUUUGGAGCUACAGACUUGCAAAUCCAAACAGUGAAUGCAAUUACAAGAGCAAAGUCAUAUUAUUUUAAAAUAUAAUCUAUUGAGCCAACCUCAUAUAAAUGUGCUUGUGUUGCCUCCAGUGAGAAGUCUGUAUCAAGUGAGUUUGAAAAGGAAGAAGACUCCAAUAUUGUCAAAUGACCAAUAUCACAGUUUUUCCCCCCACUUCAGAAAAUUUUGAGUUCUCUUGGUAGAGAUAGGAUACUGGCAUGCAGUUGUCUCCUCUGUUCUGCUUCUUAUUGACCCACUACCAGGGGCUGCUGGCAGGCUGAGCUCCUUUCUGGAGGCUUAGGGAGGAAUCUACUUCCAAGCUUAGUUGGGUUAUUGGCAGAAUCGAGUUUCUUGUGGUUGCAGAACUGAGGUCCCCAUUUUCUUGCUGGUUGUUAUCUGCAAGCUGAGAUUGUUCUUAGAAGCUUCUCAGGAGAAAGUCCUGCCAAGGGAAAAAGUCUGUCAGAAUUUGAAAGAGGGGACCUAACACUUGUAAGUGUGGAGUCCUGAUCUCAGGGACCAUCAAGGGAUACCACACUUCUGAGUUUUUUGUUUGUUUGUUUUUAGUACAGUGUCUGGGUAAAUUGCCCAGGCUGGCUUCAAACUUGUGAUCCUCCUGCCUCGGUCUCCUGAUUAGCUGUAACUCAAGCAUCUGCAGCCACCCCCUGGUUACAUUCAUGGAUUUUUUAUGAAAUGUGUUUUUCUGGUUAGUUAUUAGAGGGUUCUUCUGGUUUGGCUCAAUUAUAUUAUGCUGUUCCCAAUGAGAAUCUUUGGUGUGAAGUUUUGUUUUGUUUUGUUAUAGUACUAGUGAUUGAACCCAGGAUCUUGCACAUGCCAUUCACGUGGUCUCACGUUGAGCUACUCUGCCCGCUCUAGAAGUGUUUUCAUCUGGAGGAUCAGAGCUCUUUGGGAAAACUGCAAAUACUACUAAACAUUAAAGCCUUUUAAGAUUAAAUCCCCCAUUAGACCAGAUAGUUUUAGAUUGCUUUUAAAACUAGUUUUAGGGGGCUGGGGAUUUAGCUUAGGGGCUGGGGAUUUAGCUCAGUGGUGUAAGUGCCUGCCUUGCAAGUGUGUGGUCAUGAGUUCCAUCCCUGGUACCGGUAAAAAAAAAAAAAAAAAAAAAAACUAGUUUUAGGAGUCUGGGAAGAUGGCGAACAAUAAGCAGCAGAGUAAACAACCUCUCUGCGUGAAACAGCCCAGAUUCUGGAAUAUAGCUUUCUGGAGAAGACAAAAAGGAAAGAAGUGGGUCCCCUUGACCGAGAAAGAAACUAAAGUGAGAAUUGAAGCUCACAGAAAUAAUAAAAAAAGAAAAAAAAAACUUAAAAGGAAGGCAGUAGCCAGCAGCGCCUUCACCAGAGCCAGUCCCACUGUGCAGUAAGCGCUGUGCACAGUCACAGUGCAGCUGGUGGCUGGCAAGCCUGAAGGCCUUGGUGGGGAGAUGCGGUGGCAGAGGGGAGCGGUGGACCAGAGGACUGCACUGGCUGGCGGUGAGUGUGGGGAACUGAGUCCUCCUGUGUGAGUGGGCAGUUGGUCAGGUACCAUUUUGGUGCUGGGCAGAAUAAACCUGGAACCAGAACUGCAGCCGGCUUUGUUCAGCCACUCCUCGCUUAAAGCAGACUGGUGGAAAUUGCUUGGACUGAGUCCCACCCCUGUGCAUAGUCCAGGAGCCACCCCUAGGUUGCCCUAACGCUAUCCCUAACCAACCCCACUCACCCAUGGCGAAAACUCCCUGUGGUUAACCAGCUCAGAAGGGGGAGGCCAGCCUGCCCCAUCCCUGCUUACAUGCCAGUAGUCACCAGCAGACUGGGAAAAGCAGCAAACAACACAAUUUGGAGGGGGGGUACUGGAGAUGGAACUCAUGACCUUACGCUUGCCAGGCAAGCACUUACGCUGCUGAGCUAAAUCCCCAGCCCAAAAGCAUCAAACAGCAAAAAAUUCCUAGCCAACACUCUUCAGAGUAAUUAUAACCAAUAUAGAAAUUGCCGGGGACUCCAUUACCCACUUGUCUGGAAGAAACCAGGAACAUGACAAGAGGAAGAAGCAAAAGGCAGUCUCUGGCCUCCAAACCAAGCAGUACUGGUCCAGGAGAGAUAAACACAGAAGGGAUUGGGAGCUGCACACCUGCAGUUUUUGAAGCAACAGCAACUGAAAAAAAAAAAAAAACUUAAUGAGGCUGUAAAAGAACUUACAACAGAAAUAUUACAGAUAAAAGAAGACAUAAGAAACAUAAUAAAAGAAUUGCUAAGCACCUUUAAAGAACACACAGAUGGAAGAGGAGCAUAGAAAAAGGAAGGAAACCUUCGAUGAAGAAUAUUUAAAAAAUUCGAAUACAUGAAACAGAUUCAGAGAUUACCAGGAAAUUAAAAACUCCAUUGAAAGGUGGCAAAACUGUUUGAAAGAAACUAAAGAUAGACUAUCAAACCUUGAAGACAGGUUUACAGCUUGCGAUCUUGUGAAAGGAAAGAUCUCUUAAAAAUAACAAGGAACCAGGAAGUAACAAUAUAAAGGCUAGAAGACGACAAGAGGAUCUAUAACUUAAGAAUAAAAAAUGUGAGUGAAGAAACAGGAGUAAACACAAAGGAACUACAAAGGCUAUUCACAGAAAUAAUAAAAGAAAACUUCCCAAACGUAGGAAAAGGAAAUGAUAUUCAGAUACAUGAGGCACACGGAACUCCAGCCAGCUAGAACCAAAACAGAUCUACACCCAGACAUAUAAUAAUCAAGAUCCCAGAAAUUCAAUACAAGACCAGAAUAUUAAAAGCUGUAGAGAAAAGAAACAGAUCACCUAUAAAGAAAAACUCAUCAGAAUCAUGACAGACUUUGUGACACAAAUCAUCAAAUCAAAAAGAUCUGGGAGUGAAGUAUUCCAAGUCCUGAAAGAAAAUAACCUCCAACGCAGAUUGAUGUACCCUGCAAAACUAUCUCUCAAAAUUAAUGAGGAGGGGCUGGGGUUUAGCUCAGCGGCAUAAGCACCUGCCUUGCAAGCAGGCGGUCACGAGUUCAAUCCCUGGUACCGAUAAAAAUGAAAAAAAAAAAAAAAGAAAAAAAAAUUAAUGAGGAAGCAAGAUGUUUACAAGACAAAGACAAACUCAGGGAGUUUGUAACCAAUCCAACGUACAAAAAAUACUGGACAUUCUAGAGAGGGAGAAAAAGAGACCAUGGUUUCAAGAACAGUGACAGAGGGGGCUCAGUGAAUGGGGCAGACAGUGGAAUGAAAAGGAAAAGUAGACAACGAACAACAGAAAAGUAGCAUGGCAGAGAUGAGGCGAAGGUUGGCCAUAAUCACUAAGAUGGAUAGCUUCGAUACACUAAUAAAAAGAAACACAGGCAGAGCAAAUCAGGAAAAAGGGUCCAUCAAUAUGCUCUAUAUAAGAAGUAUAAUUAACCUGAAAGAGGGUUUAUAAACUGAAAGCCAAGAUGAGAAAAUGAUGCUCUAUGUGACAGGGAACCAGAAAAAAGUGGGGGUAGCUUGCCCAUCAGCUGCAGAUUGGUUAGAAAGCCUCGACACAGUUAUACAAUGUAAAACUACUCAGCUAUAAAGAAGGAAAACCUUGAGGAUACAACUUGAGAUCAUGUGCAGGGGUAAAAAGUUUCAGAAUCACUUAGGUAAAUAGCAGGUUGCCUCCCUAAAUUAAAAACCUAAGGAGUUAGUGGAAUCCAAAAUGUAUAAUGCACCCUGUGAAAGUGAAAGGGGAGGAAUUGUCUAAAAAGGAAAAGCAGUGGCCAUUGUUAAUCUUUUAUCAUGAUUUGAAACCCGUAUUGUUUUCAUCUUUCUGUUUAGUUUGGUUUUAUUCUGUUCCAGUUUGUCUACUUGUACUAGAUGUGAUGGCGUGGACAGCUAUUCGAAAGAUAGCAGGAUACACUAUGGCACGGCUGCCCCAAGCGCCUGGUGAUGUCCUCCACAGAGCUUUUCCACAGGCCUGCAGAGGUGCGCUAGUUCCUGGCACUGCCGGUGCAGUUUUGUGGCUUAGCAGCUCUUCUCCAUCGCUGUGCAUGCCAGUUCUCUGAGUUGCUAACUUGCCCAGGCUGGGUUUGAACUUGUGAAACUCGUGCCUCAGCCUCCCAAUGUGCUGGGAUUCCAGCCGUACACCACAAUACCCAGCUUUACUGUGCAAUAUUUUGAAAGCCCACUUUCCUGUGCUGUUUGGGAGACUUCCUGUAGUCCUCUAAAGAAUCUGGAACAAGUUUCCUGAGCCACAGCUCUUUGUGGAGGACAUCAGUGCUGUUAUCUAGGAUCUGCUCCUUACAGGAUGUUGGGGAAAAGCAGAGGAGCUGUAGGACCUGGGAGGCUGUUGGAAACAUAGAAUCUGCACUCAAACCAAGUUCCCAG